Molecule: transfer RNA, 73 nt
Filed under: Salmo salar (Atlantic salmon)
Lineage: Eukaryota; Metazoa; Chordata; Actinopteri; Salmoniformes; Salmonidae
Rfam family: tRNA
About the family: Transfer RNA (tRNA) molecules are approximately 80 nucleotides in length. Their secondary structure includes four short double-helical elements and three loops (D, anti-codon, and T loops). Further hydrogen bonds mediate the characteristic L-shaped molecular structure. tRNAs have two regions of fundamental functional importance: the anti-codon, which is responsible for specific mRNA codon recognition, and the 3' end, to which the tRNAs corresponding amino acid is attached (by aminoacyl-tRNA synthetases). tRNAs cope with the degeneracy of the genetic code in two manners: having more than one tRNA (with a specific anti-codon) for a particular amino acid; and 'wobble' base-pairing, i.e. permitting non-standard base-pairing at the 3rd anti-codon position.
Source: Rfam by way of RNAcentral
GCAUCUGUAGCUCAGUUGGUAGAGCAUGGUGUUUGCAACGCCAGGGUUGUGGGUUCGAUUCCCACGGGGGGCC